AAAUUUAUAUAUAUACAUAUAUAUAUAUAUGUAUAUAUAUAUAUAAAGGGAGAUUGCUGUCUACAGGCGUGAAGCUAAAGGACAAAGUAUUUCAUGUCUUCUCCACCUUUAAACGUUUGUACAUUUUAUAGUGUCCAUCAUCAGACACAGAAAGGAUUUGACUUGUGUCUUUGCACACGCACACACAUACUACACACACACACACACACGCAUGCAUGUACUGUACAUAACUUUCCAUGCCAAUGUGAAUAGUCGGCGGGCAAUUGUGGGUCUUGCAGCUUCAGUUACUGACCUAGCUCCCUUAAAGAAACGGAUUAUUUGCAGUUAGAGUUGCCUUAAGUACAAACAAGCUAACUAUAAUUGUGUAUUAUUUAUUGCCAUGAUGUUGUUAGUUGAUUUUAAUGAGCAAUCUGUAACUUGAUUUUGUUUUUAACCUUCCAAUCGUCAGCGUCGAUUGUUUUUCCUUUUAUAAUGAAUCAUUUUAAUUUCAAAACCAUUUCCAUUAUGGUAUUUAACAUUGUUAUUAUGUGUGGUGUAUGAGAACACGAAAUAAAAACAGCUAAUCAUGUGAGAGUAUGUAGUAUAUGGAGAAGUAAGCCAGGAUUAGGAAGAACAUUCUUUUUAAUGUUAAAUCUGAGGCUUAAUUAUUACAAUGCCAUGUCUAAAGCAUUUACAUGGUCACCCUCAGUACAGUACAAUAGCAUCAUGAUGGCUUCAACCCGAAAGGCACCAACACUGAAUCACAGAUGUCGUUAUAACAGAAAAAAAUUCACAAGUCUGAGAAUUUG
Molecule: long non-coding RNA, 788 nt
Organism: Syngnathus acus (greater pipefish)
Lineage: Eukaryota; Metazoa; Chordata; Actinopteri; Syngnathiformes; Syngnathidae
Exons: 2
Source: RefSeq, a predicted model, not a curated record